CUCGUGCCGUGAGGUGUGGGUUAAGUCCCGCAACGAGCGCAACCCUCACCCUUAGUUGCCAUCAUUAAGUUGGGCGACCCUAAGGGAACUGCCGCAGUUAAUGCGGAGGAAGGUGGGGAUGACGUCAAGUCCUCAUGGCCCUUAUAUCCAGGGCUACACACGUGCUACAAUGGGCGGUACAAAGGGUCGCGAACCUGUAAGGGGGAGCUAACCCCAGAAAACCGUUCUCAGUUCGGAUUGGAGUCUGCAACCCGACUCCAUGAAGUUGGAAUCGCUAGUAAUCGCGGAUCAGAACGCCGCGGUGAAUACGUUCCCGGGCCUU
RNAcentral lists this ribosomal RNA (322 nucleotides) under uncultured Syntrophorhabdus sp. Its description in RNAcentral is "bacterial SSU rRNA". It matches the Rfam family "Bacterial small subunit ribosomal RNA", at positions 1059 to 1382 of the family's 1533-position model. Lineage: Bacteria; Pseudomonadati; Thermodesulfobacteriota; Syntrophorhabdia; Syntrophorhabdales; Syntrophorhabdaceae. The record is from RNAcentral.